RNAcentral lists this long non-coding RNA (527 nucleotides) under Panax ginseng (ginseng). RNAcentral's name for it is "long non-coding RNA (PGIN_LNC012183)". Lineage: Eukaryota; Viridiplantae; Streptophyta; Magnoliopsida; Apiales; Araliaceae. The record is from RNAcentral.
UCCACUUCGCAUCGAAUCGCAUGAAGGUGAUGUCUAUAGCCUGCUCCAAGGUAUAUAUCUUGGUGUCUUUGGCUUCUAUCUCAACCUUCAACUGUCCUAUCUGUAUCUCUCCUGCUCCAACCUCCCUCGUAACUCGACUAAUUCUAUCUGUGCUUGGUGAGCAGCGUCCUUGUAUUGCUGUUCCAAAAUCUGGAGAGUACGAUUUUGUGCCUUCGCCUGCUCAGCUCUAACCUUUAAGUUGUCGUUCCUAACUAUCAAAUCUCUUAUCAUCUCACUGUCUGUGUACUCCUCGCUAGAGUCCAUCGUCUCUUGGGUCAAGGAAUUACUAUUUUGACUUUCGUCAUCCAUCCUAUGACCACAAUAAACGAGACAACAUUAGUACCGAAAUAAAAUAUAUUCAUCGAUAAAAUGAAGGAAUAUUUUAUUUAGUACAACUAAAACUUGAUGAAUCUCUUCGACUCAUCAUAUCCUAUAACUUCUCACCAGAGUACUUCGUCUCUUGGUUCACUGAAUAUCUAUCUUAACUU